Molecule: ribosomal RNA, 331 nt
Filed under: uncultured eukaryote
Lineage: Eukaryota
Description: partial 18S ribosomal RNA
Rfam family: Eukaryotic small subunit ribosomal RNA
Source: RNAcentral
CCCUUAGAUGUUCUGGGCCGCACGCGCGCUACACUGAUGAAUUCAACGAGUAUAUAACCUUGACCGAUAGGUCUGGGUAAUCUUUUGAAAUUUCAUCGUGAUGGGGCUAGAUUAUUGCAAUUAUUAAUCUUUAACGAGGAAUUCCUAGUAAGCGCAAUUCAUCAGAUUGCGUUGAUUACGUCCCUGCCCUUUGUACACACCGCCCGUCGCUCCUACCGAUUGGAUGAUCCGGUGAAAUCUUCGGACCGUGACGAAGCAGUUGGUCUCUGACAGCUACGUCGUGGAAAGUCGCUUAAACCUUAUCAUCUAGAGGAAGGAGAAGUCGUAACAA